This 393-nucleotide ribosomal RNA is filed under the name uncultured Cenococcum. Its description in RNAcentral is "eukaryotic LSU rRNA". It matches the Rfam family "Eukaryotic large subunit ribosomal RNA", at positions 1 to 390 of the family's 3401-position model. The record is from RNAcentral. Lineage: Eukaryota; Fungi; Ascomycota; Dothideomycetes; Gloniales; Gloniaceae.
UUGACCUCGGACCAGGCAGGGAUACCCGCUGAACUUAAGCAUAUCAAUAAGCGGAGGAAAAGAAACCAACAGGGAUUGCCUCAGUAACGGCGAGUGAAGCGGCAACAGCUCAAAUUUGAAAUCUGGCUCUUUUAGGGUCCGAGUUGUAAUUUGUAGAGGAUGCUUCGGCGUCGGCUCCGGUCUAAGUUCCUUGGAACAGGACGUCAUAGAGGGUGAGAAUCCCGUAUGUGAUCGGUUGCCCUUGCCAUGUGAAGCUCCUUCGACGAGUCGAGUUGUUUGGGAAUGCAGCUCUAAAUGGGAGGUAAAUUUCUUCUAAAGCUAAAUACUGGCCAGAGACCGAUAGCGCACAAGUAGAGUGAUCGAAAGAUGAAAAGCACUUUGGAAAGAGAGUCA